GACGAACGCUGGCGGCGUGCUUAACACAUGCAAGUCGAGCGGUAAGGCCCUUUCGGGGGUACACGAGCGGCGAACGGGUGAGUAACACGUGGGUGACCUGCCCUCAGCUCUGGGAUAAGCCCGGGAAACUGGGUCUAAUACUGGAUAUGACUCCAUGACGCAUGUUGUGGGGUGGAAAGCCUUGUGCGGCUGAGGAUGGGCCCGCGGCCUAUCAGCUUGUUGGUGGGGNGAUGGCCUACCAAGGCGACGACGGGUAGCCGGCCUGAGAGGGCGACCGGCCACACUGGGACUGAGACACGGCCCAGACUCCUACGGGAGGGCAGCAGUGGGGAAUCUUGCGCAAUGGGCGAAAGCCUGACGCAGCGACGCCGCGUGAGGGAUGACGGCCUGGUGUAACGUACUUCUA
RNAcentral lists this ribosomal RNA (406 nucleotides) under uncultured bacterium. Its description in RNAcentral is "bacterial SSU rRNA". It matches the Rfam family "Bacterial small subunit ribosomal RNA", at positions 28 to 435 of the family's 1533-position model. The record is from RNAcentral.